UACGUAGGGUGCAAGCGUUGUCCGGAAUUAUUGGGCGUAAAGAGCUCGUAGGCGGUCUGUCGCGUCGGCUGUGAAAACCCGGGGCUCAACCCCGGGCCUGCAGUCGAUACGGGCAGACUAGAGUGUGGUAGGGGAGACUGGAAUUCCCGGUGUAGCGGUGAAAUGCGUAGAUAUCGGGAGGAAUACCUAUGGCGAAGGCAGGUUACUGGGCCAUCACUGACGCUGAGCUGCGAAAGCUAGGGGAGCAAACAGG
RNAcentral lists this ribosomal RNA (253 nucleotides) under uncultured bacterium. RNAcentral's name for it is "partial 16S ribosomal RNA". It matches the Rfam family "Bacterial small subunit ribosomal RNA", at positions 524 to 776 of the family's 1533-position model. The record is from RNAcentral.